Molecule: ribosomal RNA, 462 nt
Filed under: uncultured bacterium
Lineage: Bacteria
Description: partial 16S ribosomal RNA
Rfam family: Bacterial small subunit ribosomal RNA
Source: RNAcentral
GACGAACGCUGGCGGCGUGCUUAACACAUGCAAGUCGAGCGGAAAGGCCCUUCGGGGUACUCGAGCGGCGAACGGGUGAGUAACACGUGAGUAACCUGCCCCAGACUUUGGGAUAACCCUCGGAAACGGGGGCUAAUACCGGAUACGACACAGCUUCGCAUGGGGUCUGUGUGGAAAGUUUUUCGGUUUGGGAUGGGCUCGCGGCCUAUCAGCUUGUUGGUGGGGUGAUGGCCUACCAAGGCGACGACGGGUAGCCGGCCUGGGAGGGCGACCGGCCACACUGGGACUGAGACACGGCCCAGACUCCUACGGGAGGCAGCAGUGGGGAAUAUUGCACAAUGGGCGGAAGCCUGAUGCAGCGACGCCGCGUGAGGGAUGACGGCCUUCGGGUUGUAAACCUCUUUCAGCAGGGACGAAGCGUAAGUGACGGUACCUGCAGAAGAAGCGCCGGCCAACUACGUG